GGGGACGUUUCUGGAUUCGACAGGGGUCCCCCGAGCUCAUUAAGCGUGUCGGAGGGUUGUCUUCGUCAUCAACACACACAGUUUAUAAUAACUGGCAAAUCAAACAAUAAUUUCGCAGUAGCUGCCUAAUCGCACUCUGCAUCGCCUAACAGCAUUUCCUAUGUGCUGUUAACGCGAUUCAACCUUAAUAGGAUAUGCUAAACACUGCCGUUUGAAGUCUGUUUAGAAGAAACUUAAUCAAGCUAGCAUCAUGUUGGUUGUUUAUCAC
Molecule: transfer-messenger RNA, 268 nt
Filed under: Staphylococcus aureus
Lineage: Bacteria; Bacillati; Bacillota; Bacilli; Caryophanales; Staphylococcaceae
Description: partial transfer-messenger RNA
Rfam family: transfer-messenger RNA
About the family: Bacterial tmRNA, also known as 10Sa RNA or SsrA, is named for its dual tRNA and mRNA-like properties. Its role is to liberate the mRNA from a stalled ribosome. To accomplish this part of the tmRNA is used as a reading frame that ends in a translation stop signal.
Source: RNAcentral